Non-coding RNA from Cydia strobilella, 77 nucleotides. The record is from the annotation of a RefSeq genome assembly. Lineage: Eukaryota; Metazoa; Arthropoda; Insecta; Lepidoptera; Tortricidae.
GCUUCCGUAGCUCCGUUGGUUAAGAGCGAUUGGACCUGUAUUCCAAAAGGUUGCAAGUUCGAGUCUUGCCGGAAGCG